Molecule: long non-coding RNA, 1530 nt
Organism: Canis lupus familiaris (dog)
Lineage: Eukaryota; Metazoa; Chordata; Mammalia; Carnivora; Canidae
Exons: 4
Source: RefSeq, a predicted model, not a curated record
CCUUAGAGCCAUUUAGCUUUCCUGUAGCCGUGCUAGGUCUCGAGCUUCAUAAGUGUAAGGGCAUCUAUUUUGCUGCUGUGGAUUAUGGCACAUAUGGGCCGGUUCUGGAGCUGGUGGAAGCAGCGGUGGCCUCCUGCUUGGAGGGGCUUCUGGAUUGCAGGAGCCAGUGAUUUCCUUUUCAUAGAAGAGCCCAUAUUUCUUUGGCAGUCUUCUGCACUCCAGAUUUGAGAUUGGUCCUUGGAUGCUCAACCUAGCCUGCUUCCUCAGCCUUCUCCACGAUUCUAACAAGUGACCACCACCAAAAACCUAUGCAAACAGUAAGGAUAGUGAAAGCCCAUCCUGUUGGGUGAAGGCACAUCAUUCAUUCCCACCUCCAGCCCUUCGGACGGCAGCACACACAGCAGGAAUUCAGGACAACAGAGAGGAAGCUUGAAUGGUGGAAUACAGAUUGGACCAGAAAAGCGUCACGGGUGGGAAGGAGGUGCCGGCGAGUUCCGACUCAUCCCCAGCUGGGAUCUGCUGGCCCUAUCUGAGGCCUGGUCUCCAUUGAAACCACUGCUCCCAACAGCAUCAUCUCCAAUAAAGGUUGAUCAUCUUCCAGGCCCAAUACAGCUUUCUUGAGAACAACUUGACCCUCUCGAGGUGUUCAGACCACCUUACCUGAGGGGUCUCAGCCAGAAGGCAGAGGUCUAAGAGGACCAAGCUAGGGCAUAAACAGGGAGUUUGCACAGAAACAAGAUGAGUCCUGCCCCUCACACUGGAUGAAGAGUCCCAAGCGGAUGGAGGAUGAGGGGAAGACUAGGGUUGCAAAAUGGGUGAAGGAGAUCAAGAAAUACAAACUUCCAGGUAAAAAAUAAAUAUGUCAUGGGGGUGUCAUGAAGAGGAUGGGGAACACAGUCAAUAAUCUCGUAUUGACUUUAUAUGGUGACGGAUGGUAACUAAUCUAUGGAGGCGGUCAUCUGCCAACACAUACAAAAGUUGAAUCACUAUGUUGUACACCUCCAACUGAUACAAUAUUGAAUAUCAAUUAUGCUUCAAUUAUGAAAAAAACAUUCCCAAGUUGGGAGGGAGGGAGAGUCAAAAAUAGCAGGUCCCUAAGAAGGAGUCCCAAAUUACAACCUCCCCACCCCAAGAUUCAAGUGUGGCAGGAAAAUGAGAAAAUUCAAGGAUGAUUUCUGGAACCCUGGACUGGAGGGACCUAUGCACCCCCUCCUAGGCAGAGCCCCCAAGAACAUGGCUCAACUCCAGUAAGAAAAUGACUGCACCGUGUGUAAGCAGUUUCAUCCCCCAAUCCCCGGAAAAGUCCCCUGCCCCUAGUGUGAGAGCAGCAGAAGUUUCUGGGUGCCCUGACAGAAAAGCAUGACACCUGGAGGAGGCUCAGGGAAGGGAAUGAGGAUGAUGGACAGUUCAGCGGAAGUCAGUAUGAACAGGUGGCUAGUAAAAGCCUGGCUUCUGCAGCCUCAUCACCUUGGGGUCUCAUCACCCCCCACCUGCUGGAUUUUCAGACCCAACCCCAAGAAAAGAGGAACA